GCUCUCUUUGACAGAACAUAUACUAAAAUUGGAAAGAUACAGAGAUUAGCAUGGCCCCUACGCAAGCAUGACAUGCAAAUUCAUGAAGUAUUCCAUAUUUUA
Molecule: small nuclear RNA, 102 nt
Organism: Trichechus manatus latirostris (Florida manatee)
Lineage: Eukaryota; Metazoa; Chordata; Mammalia; Sirenia; Trichechidae
Source: RefSeq, a predicted model, not a curated record